Molecule: ribosomal RNA, 2925 nt
Filed under: Salmonella enterica subsp. enterica serovar Enteritidis
Lineage: Bacteria; Pseudomonadati; Pseudomonadota; Gammaproteobacteria; Enterobacterales; Enterobacteriaceae
Description: bacterial LSU rRNA
Rfam family: Bacterial large subunit ribosomal RNA
Source: RNAcentral
GGGUUGUGAGGUUAAGCGACUAAGCGUACACGGUGGAUGCCCUGGCAGUCAGAGGCGAUGAAGGGCGUGCUAAUCUGCGAUAAGCGCCGGUAAGGUGAUAUGAACCGUUAUAACCGGCGAUACCCGAAUGGGGAAACCCAGUGUGACUCGUCACACUAUCAUUAACUGAAUCCAUAGGUUAAUGAGGCGAACCGGGGGAACUGAAACAUCUAAGUACCCCGAGGAAAAGAAAUCAACCGAGAUUCCCCCAGUAGCGGCGAGCGAACGGGGAGGAGCCCAGAGCCUGAAUCAGCAUGUGUGUUAGUGGAAGCGUCUGGAAAGGCGCGCGAUACAGGGUGACAGCCCCGUACACAAAAGCGCAUGUGCUGUGAGCUCGAUGAGUAGGGCGGGACACGUGGUAUCCUGUCUGAAUAUGGGGGGACCAUCCUCCAAGGCUAAAUACUCCUGACUGACCGAUAGUGAACCAGUACCGUGAGGGAAAGGCGAAAAGAACCCCGGCGAGGGGAGUGAAAAAGAACCUGAAACCGUGUACGUACAAGCAGUGGGAGCACCCUUUGGGUGUGACUGCGUACCUUUUGUAUAAUGGGUCAGCGACUUAUAUUCUGUAGCAAGGUUAACCGAAUAGGGGAGCCGGAGGGAAACCGAGUCUUAAUUGGGCGUUAAGUUGCAGGGUAUAGACCCGAAACCCGGUGAUCUAGCCAUGGGCAGGUUGAAGGUUGGGUAACACUAACUGGAGGACCGAACCGACUAAUGUUGAAAAAUUAGCGGAUGACCUGUGGCUGGGGGUGAAAGGCCAAUCAAACCGGGAGAUAGCUGGUUCUCCCCGAAAGCUAUUUAGGUAGCGCCUCGUGAAUUCAUCUCCGGGGGUAGAGCACUGUUUCGGCUAGGGGGCCAUCCCGGCUUACCAACCCGAUGCAAACUGCGAAUACCGGAGAAUGUUAUCACGGGAGACACACGGCGGGUGCUAACGUCCGUCGUGAAGAGGGAAACAACCCAGACCGCCAGCUAAGGUCCCAAAGUCAUGGUUAAGUGGGAAACGAUGUGGGAAGGCCCAGACAGCCAGGAUGUUGGCUUAGAAGCAGCCAUCAUUUAAAGAAAGCGUAAUAGCUCACUGGUCGAGUCGGCCUGCGCGGAAGAUGUAACGGGGCUAAACCAUGCACCGAAGCUGCGGCAGCGACACUGUGUGUUGUUGGGUAGGGGAGCGUUCUGUAAGCCUGUGAAGGUGUGUCGUGAGGCAUGCUGGAGGUAUCAGAAGUGCGAAUGCUGACAUAAGUAACGAUAAAGCGGGUGAAAAGCCCGCUCGCCGGAAGACCAAGGGUUCCUGUCCAACGUUAAUCGGGGCAGGGUGAGUCGACCCCUAAGGCGAGGCCGAAAGGCGUAGUCGAUGGGAAACGGGUUAAUAUUCCCGUACUUGGUGUUACUGCGAAGGGGGGACGGAGAAGGCUAUGUUGGCCGGGCGACGGUUGUCCCGGUUUAAGUGUGUAGGUGUGUGUUCCAGGUAAAUCCGGUUCACUUUAACACUGAGGCGUGACGACGAGGCACUACGGUGCUGAAGCAACAAAUGCCCUGCUUCCAGGAAAAGCCUCUAAGCAUCAGGUAACAUCAAAUCGUACCCCAAACCGACACAGGUGGUCAGGUAGAGAAUACCAAGGCGCUUGAGAGAACUCGGGUGAAGGAACUAGGCAAAAUGGUGCCGUAACUUCGGGAGAAGGCACGCUGACACGUAGGUGAAGUGAUUUACUCAUGGAGCUGAAGUCAGUCGAAGAUACCAGCUGGCUGCAACUGUUUAUUAAAAACACAGCACUGUGCAAACACGAAAGUGGACGUAUACGGUGUGACGCCUGCCCGGUGCCGGAAGGUUAAUUGAUGGGGUCAGCGCAAGCGAAGCUCCUGAUCGAAGCCCCGGUAAACGGCGGCCGUAACUAUAACGGUCCUAAGGUAGCGAAAUUCCUUGUCGGGUAAGUUCCGACCUGCACGAAUGGCGUAAUGAUGGCCAGGCUGUCUCCACCCGAGACUCAGUGAAAUUGAACUCGCUGUGAAGAUGCAGUGUACCCGCGGCAAGACGGAAAGACCCCGUGAACCUUUACUAUAGCUUGACACUGAACAUUGAGCCUUGAUGUGUAGGAUAGGUGGGAGGCUUUGAAGUGUGGACGCCAGUCUGCAUGGAGCCGACCUUGAAAUACCACCCUUUAAUGUUUGAUGUUCUAACGUGGACCCGUUACCCGGGUUGCGGACAGUGUCUGGUGGGUAGUUUGACUGGGGCGGUCUCCUCCUAAAGAGUAACGGAGGAGCACGAAGGUUGGCUAAUCCUGGUCGGACAUCAGGAGGUUAGUGCAAUGGCAUAAGCCAGCUUGACUGCGAGCGUGACGGCGCGAGCAGGUGCGAAAGCAGGUCAUAGUGAUCCGGUGGUUCUGAAUGGAAGGGCCAUCGCUCAACGGAUAAAAGGUACUCCGGGGAUAACAGGCUGAUACCGCCCAAGAGUUCAUAUCGACGGCGGUGUUUGGCACCUCGAUGUCGGCUCAUCACAUCCUGGGGCUGAAGUAGGUCCCAAGGGUAUGGCUGUUCGCCAUUUAAAGUGGUACGCGAGCUGGGUUUAGAACGUCGUGAGACAGUUCGGUCCCUAUCUGCCGUGGGCGCUGGAGAACUGAGGGGGGCUGCUCCUAGUACGAGAGGACCGGAGUGGACGCAUCACUGGUGUUCGGGUUGUCAUGCCAAUGGCACUGCCCGGUAGCUAAAUGCGGAAGAGAUAAGUGCUGAAAGCAUCUAAGCACGAAACUUGCCCCGAGAUGAGUUCUCCCUGAGACUUUAGGUCUCCUGAAGGAACGUUGAAGACGACGACGUUGAUAGGCCGGGUGUGUAAGCGCAGCGAUGCGUUGAGCUAACCGGUACUAAUGAACCGUGAGGCUUAACCUUACAACGCCGAAG